UACAGAGGUCCCAAGCGUUGUUCGGAUUCACUGGGCGUAAAGGGUGCGUAGGUGGUGCGGGAAGUCUGGUGUGAAAUCUCCGAGCUCAACUCGGAAACGGCACUAGAAACUCUCGCGCUGGAGGGUCGGAAGGGAGACUGGAAUUCUCGGUGUAGCGGUGAAAUGCGUAGAUAUCGAGAGGAACACCAGUGGCGAAAGCGAGUCUCUGGACGACACCUGACACUGAGGCACGAAAGCUAGGGGAG
This 245-nucleotide ribosomal RNA is filed under the name uncultured bacterium. RNAcentral's name for it is "partial 16S ribosomal RNA". It matches the Rfam family "Bacterial small subunit ribosomal RNA", at positions 524 to 768 of the family's 1533-position model. The record is from RNAcentral.